RNAcentral lists this ribosomal RNA (229 nucleotides) under uncultured bacterium. RNAcentral describes it as "partial 16S ribosomal RNA". It matches the Rfam family "Bacterial small subunit ribosomal RNA", at positions 568 to 796 of the family's 1533-position model. The record is from RNAcentral.
UGCGUAGGUGGUGUUGUGUGUCGGAUGUGAAAUCUCAUCGCUCAACGGUGAAACUGCAUUCGAAACUGCAACGCUAGAGGGCAGGAGAGGAAAGCGGAAUUCUUGGUGUAGCGGUGGAAUGCGUUGAUAUCAAGAAGAACACCUGUGGCGAAGGCGGCUUUCUGGAAUGCUACUGACACUGAGGCACGAAAGUUGGGGUAGCGAACAGGAUUAGAUACCCUGGUAGUCC